This 1580-nucleotide long non-coding RNA is filed under the name Schizosaccharomyces pombe (fission yeast). Lineage: Eukaryota; Fungi; Ascomycota; Schizosaccharomycetes; Schizosaccharomycetales; Schizosaccharomycetaceae. The record is from RNAcentral.
UAUAAAAUAAGGAAAUAAAAAUUCAAAUAUAUAAUUAUUGUUGGUUCCAACAUUCUGCCGAUACUAGCCGUAUCUCAACAAUAUUUCCCAACGGACAACACUAAUUAGCAAACUGCGGCAAGCUGCAGCAAAAAGGUCGGAAUUAUAAUUCGUUAAAGAUAUGUAAAUACCAAUGCUAUCGAAAGUAUAUUUAUAUUCAGAAUUUAAUUUUAUAGAAAGAAGUUAGUUAUUUAUGGCUACCCAUCGCCUCAAUGAAACUAAAGAUGAUUUAAUUACUAAAACUCUGCCAAGCAUAUUGCUUUUUUUCUGGAUUUUUCUAAAUGAGAAGGUUAAGCUGCGUAAAUAAUUCUUUGUUGCCUUUAUAAAUCGAUAUUCAUGGCCGAUGACAUUUCAGCUGUAACUUGAACAGCGACAUCCUUCAACUGUAAGUGAUAUUCUGCUACAAUUGCAUCUAGAGUAAGUAAUUUUUGUGGAAGAAAGUUAGGGUCAGGUUCCUUGUCCACGGACAUGUCUGUCACAAGAAUCCAUGUAUCUUCUUUCGGAAGCAACUCCAGAGUGUUCAAAACAAUCAAAUAAUGUUCUAUUAUAAAAGUUCUCUCCUUUUUUCCAAUUAAUUCUGUAGUAGAGAUAUACCGGCUCAGUUUUUCAUAAAUAAUUGCUGCUGCGUCUCGAUAGUUUUGAUGUUUAUACCGCCAACUAAACAAAAUAUUAUACCAGCAUGGUUGUGAUUCAACGUUAAUCAUUUGAAAGGCCUUUCGCUCAAGCAAAUUGUCGACGUCCUGUCUUAACGUUGGCAUUGAAUAAUUUAGAAGCUGAUUUAUUUUACCUUGUUUCGUUAAUUGAUUUACAAAGUCUAGUAAACAUGACUUUUUCAAAGGCGUAGUGGAUAAAACCAUCAAUGCAACGUGAGCAGCGUCAAACUUUCCUGCUGCACAAGCGGUUUUUAAAGUCUCAUGGGUAAUUGCAAUAGACAAAUCUUCGUCGUCAGUCUCUUUCGAGGCAUCUGCUAAUAAAGAAAAUUCUAAUGCAUCUAUAUAUGCACUCUCCUCGAACAGCUUUUUUGAUAGAUGAAGGUAAUAACACGAUAAUAGGUUCUGAUGGUGGUAUUUUUCAGCAAUUUCUUGAAACUCCCGUAAAACUGCGAAUUGAGAAGUAUGUGAGUAAAGGACUAGAGAAGUAGUCUUGAAACAUCGGACAGCCUUAACAGCUUCUUUCGAUUUGAGAUAAAUAAGUGCUUUCAAGUAGACUGCAAUUGGGUCAGAGUUAAGCCACCCUAUUAAUUGCAUACAUGCAUUAUAUUGUUUGAAUAGAAACAACUUUUCUACAAGUUCAGUGACCAGAUCAUUUUCCGUAUCGUCCCUUAUAAAGAUUGCCGACAAAGACGAUAUCACGGUAGCAUGUAAAGGUGAAAUUUGGCUUUCUGAGAAACAUUCGGAAUAAUUCAAAGCGGAAAAAAACUGAAGGGCUGUGUUAACACUUGCUAAAGCUUCCAUAGUAUUUAAAUUACAGUUUGUUGAAUCAACAUCCUCCUCCUCAAAUUUUUCUAGCAAAAGUGCAGAAUUCUCUAAAAGAAAACUCAC